This 622-nucleotide ribosomal RNA is filed under the name Pantoea sp. RNAcentral's name for it is "bacterial SSU rRNA". It matches the Rfam family "Bacterial small subunit ribosomal RNA", at positions 805 to 1427 of the family's 1533-position model. The record is from RNAcentral. Lineage: Bacteria; Pseudomonadati; Pseudomonadota; Gammaproteobacteria; Enterobacterales; Erwiniaceae.
AACGAUGUCGACUUGGAGGUUGUUCCCUUGAGGAGUGGCUUCCGGAGCUAACGCGUUAAGUCGACCGCCUGGGGAGUACGGCCGCAAGGUUAAAACUCAAAUGAAUUGACGGGGGCCCGCACAAGCGGUGGAGCAUGUGGUUUAAUUCGAUGCAACGCGAAGAACCUUACCUACUCUUGACAUCCANNGAACUUAGCAGAGAUGCUUUGGUGCCUUCGGGAACGCUGAGACAGGUGCUGCAUGGCUGUCGUCAGCUCGUGUUGUGAAAUGUUGGGUUAAGUCCCGCAACGAGCGCAACCCUUAUCCUUUGUUGCCAGCGAUUCGGUCGGGAACUCAAAGGAGACUGCCGGUGAUAAACCGGAGGAAGGUGGGGAUGACGUCAAGUCAUCAUGGCCCUUACGAGUAGGGCUACACACGUGCUACAAUGGCGCAUACAAAGAGAAGCGACCUCGCGAGAGCAAGCGGACCUCACAAAGUGCGUCGUAGUCCGGAUCGGAGUCUGCAACUCGACUCCGUGAAGUCGGAAUCGCUAGUAAUCGUGGAUCAGAAUGCCACGGUGAAUACGUUCCCGGGCCUUGUACACACCGCCCGUCACACCAUGGGAGUGGGUUGCAAAAGAAGU